This 468-nucleotide ribosomal RNA is filed under the name uncultured bacterium. RNAcentral's name for it is "partial 16S ribosomal RNA". It matches the Rfam family "Bacterial small subunit ribosomal RNA", at positions 28 to 507 of the family's 1533-position model. The record is from RNAcentral.
GACGAACGCUGGCGGCGUGCUUAACACAUGCAAGUCGAACGGAAAGGCCCUGCUUUUGUGGGGUGCUCGAGUGGCGAACGGGUGAGUAACACGUGAGUAACCUGCCCUUGACUUUGGGAUAACUUCAGGAAACUGGGGCUAAUACCGGAUAGGAGCUCCUGCUGCAUGGUGGGGGUUGGAAAGUUUCGGCGGUUGGGGAUGGACUCGCGGCUUAUCAGCUUGUUGGUGGGGUAGUGGCUUACCAAGGCUUUGACGGGUAGCCGGCCUGAGAGGGUGACCGGCCACAUUGGGACUGAGAUACGGCCCAGACUCCUACGGGAGGCAGCAGUGGGGAAUAUUGCACAAUGGGCGGAAGCCUGAUGCAGCAACGCCGCGUGCGGGAUGACGGCCGUCGGGUUGUAAACCGCGUUCGCCUGUGACGAAGCGUGAGUGACGGUAAUGGGUAAAGAAGCACCGGCUAACUACGUG